ACGGCAGCACGGGUGCUUGCACCUGGUGGCGAGUGGCGAACGGGUGAGUAAUGCACCGGAACGUACCCAGUAAUGGGGGAUAACACAUCGAAAGAUGUGCUAAUACCGCAUACGCCCUGAGGGGGAAAGCGGGGGAUCGCAAGACCUCGCGUUAUUGGAGCGGCCGAUGCCGGAUUAGCUAGUUGGUGGGGUAAAGGCCUACCAAGGCGACGAUCCGUAGCUGGUCUGAGAGGACGACCAGCCACACUGGGACUGAGACACGGCCCAGACUCCUACGGGAGGCAGCAGUGGGGAAUUUUGGACAAUGGGCGCAAGCCUGAUCCAGCCAUGCCGCGUGAGUGAAGAAGGCCUUCGGGUUGUAAAGCUCUUUCGCAAGGAAAGAAAACUUACCUUCUAAUAAAGGGUGAGGUUGACGGUACCUUGAUAAGAAGCACCGGCUAACUACGUGCCAGCAGCCGCGGUAAUACGUAGGGUGCGAGCGUUAAUCGGAAUUACUGGGCGUAAAGCGUGCGCAGGCGGUUCGACAAGUCUGAUGUGAAAUCCCCGGGCUCAACCUGGGAACUGCGUUGGAAACUGUCGGGCUAGAGUGUAGAAGAGGGGGGUAGAAUUCCACGUGUAGCAGUGAAAUGCGUAGAGAUGUGGAGGAAUACCGAUGGCGAAGGCAGCCCCCUGGGCUAACACUGACGCUCAUGCACGAAAGCGUGGGGAGNCAACAGGAUUAGAUACCCUGGUAGUNCACGCCCUAAACGAUGUCUAC
Molecule: ribosomal RNA, 757 nt
Filed under: uncultured bacterium
Lineage: Bacteria
Description: bacterial SSU rRNA
Rfam family: Bacterial small subunit ribosomal RNA
Source: RNAcentral